UUUCGCAAUGCCCGAAAGGGUGACGAAGCGACGCCGCGUGUGGGAAGAAGGCCCUAGGGUUGUAAACCACUGUCAGGAGUUAAGAAAUGCGGGAGUGUUAAUAGCAUUCCCGUUUGACGAAAGCUCCAGAGGAAGCCACGGCUAACUCUGUGCCAGCAGCCGCGGUAAUACAGAGGUGGCAAGCGUUGUUCGGAAUUAUUGGGCGUAAAGAGCACGUAGGCGGCCCUGCAAGUCAGUUGUGAAAGCCUUCCGCUUAACGGGAGAACGGCAUCUGAUACUACGGGGCUAGAGUACGGGAGGGGAGAGUGGAACUUCUGGUGGAGCGGUGAAAUGCGUAGAUAUCAGAAGGAACGCCGGCGGCGAAAGCGACUCUCUGGCCCGAAACUGACGCUGAGUGUGCGAAAGCUAGGGGAGCAAACGGGAUUAGAUACCCCGGUAGUCCUAGCCGUAAACGAUGGGCACUAAGUAGAGGGGUUUUA
This 479-nucleotide ribosomal RNA is filed under the name uncultured bacterium. RNAcentral describes it as "bacterial SSU rRNA". It matches the Rfam family "Bacterial small subunit ribosomal RNA", at positions 364 to 833 of the family's 1533-position model. The record is from RNAcentral.